UGGGGAAUAUUGCACAAUGGGCGAAAGCCUGAUGCAGCGACGCCGCGUGCGGGAUGAAGGCCUUCGGGUUGUAAACCGCUUUUAAUUGGGAGCAAGCGAGAGUGAGUGUACCUUUUGAAUAAGCACCGGCUAACUACGUGCCAGCAGCCGCGGUAAUACGUAGGGUGCAAGCGUUAUCCGGAAUUAUUGGGCGUAAAGAGCUCGUAGGCGGUUUGUCACGCCUGGUGUGAAAGUCCAUCGCUUAACGGUGGAUCUGCGCCGGGUACGGGCAGGCUAGAGUGCAGUAGGGGAGAUUGGAAUUCCCGGUGUAACGGUGGAAUGUGUAGAUAUCGGGAAGAACACCAAUGGCGAAGGCAGAUCUCUGGGCUGUUACUGACGCUGAGGAGCGAAAGCAUGGGGAGCGAACAGGAUUAGAUACCC
Molecule: ribosomal RNA, 420 nt
Filed under: uncultured bacterium
Lineage: Bacteria
Description: partial 16S ribosomal RNA
Rfam family: Bacterial small subunit ribosomal RNA
Source: RNAcentral